GGUGCCGAGCGUUUUGCAGCCUGGGAGACCCGGGCUUCUCUCCCCAUGGGUCAGCAGCGCACCGCCUCCACACCCCAGCCCGCCCUCCUAGGGACAGGUGCGACGAACGGGCCUCUGGCUCUGAGUGUGGCAACAACACUGGAUGGCCGUACAAGGAUCCCUGACCUGCCAUGGAUGCAGAUGGAACCACUGGGAUGGUGACACGGGCUCAGCCUUGGACUCCAGACAUUAAAUCCGCCCAAGAGAGGAUCAGCAUAGACUUGCCAGCAGCAGGAGACAGCGUCUACAGGGUCUGGAGCAAUCAUGACUCACUACCUUUGACCUCCUGGGCUCAAUCGAUCCUCCAGCCUCA
Molecule: long non-coding RNA, 352 nt
Organism: Nomascus leucogenys (northern white-cheeked gibbon)
Lineage: Eukaryota; Metazoa; Chordata; Mammalia; Primates; Hylobatidae
Exons: 3
Source: RefSeq, a predicted model, not a curated record